GUGCUGUCUUGGGUGGCACAUAUACUAAAAUAGGAAUGAUACAAAGAUUGGCAUGGCCCUUGUGCAAGGAUGACGCACAAAUUUGUGAAGCAUUCCACACUUAA
Molecule: small nuclear RNA, 104 nt
Organism: Prolemur simus (greater bamboo lemur)
Lineage: Eukaryota; Metazoa; Chordata; Mammalia; Primates; Lemuridae
Source: Ensembl